GUCCUAGCUGUAAACGAUGGGCACUAGGUGUGGGGGGAGUCGACCCCUUCCCGUGCCGCAGUUAACGCAUUAAGUGCCCCGCCCUGGGGAGGUACGACCGCAAGGUUGAAACUCAAAGGAAUUGACGGGGGCCCGCACAAGCGGUGGAGCAUGUGGUUUAAUUCGAUGAUACGCGAAGAACCUUACCGGGGCUUGACAUGCAGCAGAACAUUAGUGGAAACACAAAUGGUCCCUCACGGGACUGUUGCACAGGUGCUGCAUGGCUGUCGU
RNAcentral lists this ribosomal RNA (270 nucleotides) under uncultured bacterium. Its description in RNAcentral is "partial 16S ribosomal RNA". It matches the Rfam family "Bacterial small subunit ribosomal RNA", at positions 793 to 1055 of the family's 1533-position model. The record is from RNAcentral.